AAAAAAAAAAAAUUGCUUCCUAAUAGAAAGAUGUAUUGAUUAGAUAAUAUCUAUGGAUUUAUAUAUUAUAUAUUGCUAUUAUAUUUGUGUAUAUUAUGUUAUAAAUUGAAAGUUAUAAAUAAUAGAAAUUAAAAAAAAAAAAAAAAAGGAAUAGGUAUUAUGACAUUGUUUAUAUCAAAGUUUCCAGUGGAACUUCUGUUAGGCGGAACAAAUAUACGUUGACAACUUGACCUCUUUGGUAUGACCAAACAUUGUUACCCAUCACUAUUUCUUUCACUCUGUUUUGAAUGCCAGUCCUACAUCAAUCACUGUGCUUUGAUUACAUCAAUAACAUAGGAUCCUUUUUCUGCAGAAAAAAAUAACUCAUACUCCUUGAUAUAACAUAAACACAUUUUAAAAGCUGUAGUUUUGAAAAAAGAAAAAAAGUCAUUUGCAUCCUAUUUGUAUUAUCUUAAAAAAGAUGAAAAUAUAUUAAAAUGCCUGGUGAGCAAUUCAAGCUAUAAGGGAGCCUCUAGUUAUUAUAACUGGC
RNAcentral lists this long non-coding RNA (529 nucleotides) under Mytilus galloprovincialis (Mediterranean mussel). Lineage: Eukaryota; Metazoa; Mollusca; Bivalvia; Mytilida; Mytilidae. The record is from RNAcentral.